AGAGAAAACAAGAAAAGAUUUUUUUUAUCCCUAACCUAUAAUUUAUUUCCAUUUAUUUAUUUUGGCAAGGCAACUGGGGUUAAGUGACUUGUCUAAGGUUACACAGCUAGGAAGUUUUAAGUCUCUGAGACCAAACUGAAUUGAAAGUCCUUUAUCCUGCACAUGUAAAUAAAAUUAAAUAAAAAGGAAUCCUAUAAUACUAUUCCAUUUGAAUAGCAUUAAAGACAUUAAGGCUUAAUUGAAUGACCAUUCAUAUAUCAUCAUUGGGAUUCCGAGUGUAAGCUAAGCAAGAUGGCAACUGAAGUCCCUUCCAACUCUUAAAUUACAUGAUUUUGUGAUUCUGUGACUGUAAUAUUUCAUCUAACGUAUAAAAUAUAUUAAAAAACUAACCAAUGUAAUCCUAUCCUAAAUUAGGAAUCUCCAACAUUUUUGCAAGGAAGACCUACUUUUUUUUGUUUUGAAGUCCCAAGACUCCCUGAUAUAGGAGGAAAAAGGAUGUGACAGUCAACUCAUCCCUUAUUAACUGUAACCUGCCUAUGAGCACCUUCAAAUGAUGAAGAGGACUACCUGUUUAAGGCCCCAACAAUGACCAAGAAGGACUUAUCCUGAACCCAAUUGGUUCAGAGUGAAUAUAAAUAACAAUUGUUUCUGUUUUGGCCAUAAACCCUGAAAGUCUUCCCCUUUCAGAUUUUUUUUUAACCAGAGAAGCAGCAGAAAAAGGAUCAAAAAAUCAUAGGCUUAAAGCUGGAAGCAGAAGAGUGUGCUGGUAAAUAUUUAACAAUCAGCUUUUGGGGGAAAAUGUAUGAAGGAUACAAUUUUCAGUUUAAUUGGCAUCAUUAACAUUUUCCCACCACUUUCUUCAAGCCUUUGGUGGUGGGGAAAAGGAAGGAGAAAUUGUAAAGCAAAAAAAGAAUAUACUUUCCUCUCCUUUCUCCCAUUAUUCUUUAUACUGAAGAGAGGUUAUAUUGGUUUUCUCUGACUUAUACACUUUCUGAAGUAAUUAAUUAAAAUGUUGGUGUCUAUAUUUUCUAAUAUCUAUAAGUUGAUGUGCAGAUUUUCUGAAUAUCUUGAUGAAUGCUAUGAAUUGGUAAAUAAUUUAUUUAUUUUUAUUUUUAGGAGUUUUUUUCGGAUUUGUCUGUCUCACCAAAAGCUGUCUCUGGCCAGCCACCAGAAGUGGAGCAGCCAUUCAUAAUAUUGCUGUUGAAUUGGGGAUUGUCAUCAAAACUUUGUCCUGCUCCAUUUCUGACCUUGACCUACUAAUGCUUUUCUCCUUAGAUAGCUGGUGGUGACCCUGCUUUGGGGACUUAACUUUGGUGCUGGGCUUAUUGUAGACACUGGAUAGGCUUUGGACCUACUGUAGCUCAGAAUUCUAGAGCUCAAGAAAUCCAUCAGUCUCACCCUCACAGGUAGAGGACCACAAGUAUGUUCACUGCUGCCCCAUAAUUGAGAAAUAAUUUGUAUAUUCUGGUUGUUCUUUCCUUUCCACCAGACUCUGCUUACUUACAAUAAUGACUUAGAGUUCUAAUUUUGUUCUGAAUCACAAACUAUGAUAAACUUUGGGAAGAUUUCACUUUUCUUUUUGUCUGUGAAGUAUAAUUUCAUUUUAAAUUUCUAAAUAAGACUUAUCAAAUUUGUUUUUUUAUAAUUAAAAUAAGUAACUGAAUCCAAAAUAUGACAUCUAUACAAAUUUCAUCAUCAAAAGUUUAGAUCCCUGACACUCAGUAAGAAAGUAAUGAGCUACAAACUCAUCUUUCCCUGCUUUUAGGAUUCACUAAUAGAACUGGAGAACAGAAAUAGGGGAAUUAUCUUUCAGAAGGUCACCACUAAUCCACUCCCCAUAAUUACAAUCUAAAUAUGAAGGAAACAUAUUUUCUAGAAAUUAGCUUCUCAGAUUGUCUUGAUGAUACCAAAAUACCAUCUCAAGAUGCAAGGAGAUAAAACACAGGUAAGUUUAAAGGAGAAAGAUAUGUGAGUGAGGAAGCCUUAGUGGUGGAACUGACUCUAAGCAAAAAUAAUAGGCAAGUAAAAUCUCUUUCACAGGUUUUUUUCUACUUCAGCUAUUCUUUUCAUGAAUACUUUUGCUCUCAGAUGCUGCCAAAAAAGUUGAGGCUUUUUGUUUGUUUUUUGUUUUGUAUAAUGAAGUGAGGAGAAAAGAUUAAAAAAAAAAAGCCUUUAAGGACUGGCUAAUGAUAGCAUUUAUUUCACUGUGAUCAGAGGAUCUUGCCCUGCUCACUUCUUGGAGUCAAUCUUCUGCUCCAUCUAUGUAUGAAGCAGAAACUGUCUUAUUGUCCCAGUGGGAAAUCUGAGAGGCAUUCAAGGACCAAAUGAAUGACUGACUAAUGAGAGUAUUUAUCCCACCAUGACAGAAAAAAUAUCUCUGAUCAGAGGAUCUUGCUCUGCUCAUUCCUUGGAGGCAACCAUCUGCUCCAUCUAUGUAUGAGGCAGAACCUGUUUUAUUGUCCCAAUGGAAAAUCUGAGAAGCAUUCAAGGUACACUUUUUGGACUUCAGCGAAGAUUUUUUUUUUUUUUUUUUUUGCUGCUAGGUUCAUUUGCUGAUAAGCUAAAAUAUUCCACACUUACUUCCAGGCCCAGAUCAACUGAGGAGUUUAAUUCUUAGGAAAUUUCUACUGGCACUUUUAAAAGUAAAACCUGUUACCUUAAAUGUUCUAUGAAACAGUAACAAUUACAAAAAAAUCUAUCUCAAAGUCCAGGUUUUAAAAGCAUCUAUCUUUUAGUGUAAAGUCCCCAAUUCUAUAUUUUCUAAGUUAUUAUUUUACAAACUUUAGAUUUAAAUUUUUUUGUUUGCUUAUCUGAUUUUUAUUUGUUUUCUCCUUGUAUCAAAUCUUUCCAGUGACAGUUUCAGCACUUUUUAGUUUUGUCCUUAGUAUACAUUUCCAAUAUGACCCUUUUACCAGAAACUAUCUAUAUUGGUAAAAUCACAGACUUGGAUGAUUUAAAAAAAAGUCUGAUAAUAGACCUUUCCCCCUUUUAUAAAUGAGCAAAAUUAGAAAACAGAAAGCAAAAUAACUUCCUUAAAAAUCAACAAAAGGCUGAGCCCUUAUUUCUGGUACGAAAUUAUCUACUGUCACAUCAUUCAUGACAUUUUAAGUUGGAAAGACACCUAGACAUAAUCUAACUUAGUCUUUAUAAUUUUACAAAUAAGGAAAUUAAAGUACAAUGAAACAUUAAAUGAGUUAUCUGAGUUCAAACAACUUGUUGAUGGCAAGGAUAGAACUAGAACCUAGACCAGGCCUCUUUAUUCUAUAUAAAACACUGAUUUUUUUUUCAAAUAAUAUUUUUUAUCCUGAGGAAAUCUGGCUAUGAAUGUCUUUUCUAAUCUCUACAGUGAUGUAACUGUCUUUUUUUUUUUUGCAUCAUUGUCUCAUUGUGCUUGUUACAUAGUAAUAGGUGCUUAAUUAACUGUGUAUCUCUAUCUCUGCCUGUCUGUGUCUCUCUUUGUGUCUCUCUGUCUCUGUUCCUGCCUUUCUGUCUCUGUCUCUGUUUUUGUCUCUGUCUCUGUCUCUAUCUGCCUGCCUGCCUGUUUUAGGAAUAUCAUAGGAUCAUGUCUAGAGCUGAAAGGUUCUAUCUUCUCCUACUAUUUAAUUUUAUAAAUUAAGUGACUUGCCUAAAUAAUAUGUAUACCAAGCAUCAGAAGCAAACUUUGAAUCCAUGUUCUUUUCCUCCAGUCCUGUGUAUGUGAUUCCUUAUCACAAUUUCUAAAAGCAGAUAUUUAGGAUUAGACAAACCUCUUAUGACUUCUCAAAGGAAAAAAAAAAAAACCAAUUAGUAUGAGGAGUCCAUUAAGCACACAAACUUUCAUAGAUUUGGCAACACUUUCUAACUGCCAGACUUCACAAGUUCAUUGCCUGACUGAACUCAAGGAUGCAGCCAAAUUCAAGGUCCCUUUUCUGAGAAUUUAAAAAACCAAUUAAUUCUGGGGCUGCAACUUUAAGCAUUCCCCUGAAUAAGAGACUGUUGACAAAUAUGUAAACUUCUCGCAAAUUGAUGGUCUCUGAGAGGAUUGCUGAGGGUUCAUUAGUGGGCAGAGCACAGCUGUCAAGUAGUCUCAUUGGCAGAGAUUUUUAAAUGAAACUUGGGAGAUGUGAACUGCUUGCCACACAGUUUUAGUCCUUAUUAGUUAUAUUUAUUUAUACCUAGCAGGAUAGACCAUCUUUUCAAUUAGAAGGCAGUAGUUCACAUUUGAUUUCAGACACUUACUAGCUAGGUGAUCACUUCACCCUGUUUGCCUCAAUUUCCUCACCUAUAAAAUGAGCUGGAGAAGAAAAAACCCCAAAUGGGAUCAUAGAGAGUUGGGAAUAGCUGAAAUGACUUAAUAACAACAAAAAUUCUUUUAAAAAAAUUAGCUGGUUCAAAAAUGAGAAAAAUAAAGAUCUAUGUGUUAAUUAGGAAUGAAGACUGAUCCUAUGGUUUCACUGAUUAUAGGGAUUUCUUAAAAGUAGAAACUCCCUCUCUAUCAAUGCAGGUGGAUGCUUUCUUUGUAAUUUAUGGGCUUAGAGAGUUACCUGGCAAGAGGUAAAGUGACAUAUGCAAUAUGUGCCUUAGGUCUUCCUUCAUUCAUUGCUGCUUCUCUUGAUCUAAAUACUGCUCAGAAAUGGAGAAGAUAAUCAUUAAUUAAUUAUUUAGACCAAGCCUUUUAUCCACUGAUUCUUAAGCUGGAAUUCACAAACUUAAAAAAAAACAAAAAACAAAAAAAAAACUUUUCUGGAUAGCAGUUUCAAGAUAAUUUGCUUCUUUUGUAAUCUUGCAUAUUUUGUUUUAUGCAUUUAAAUCCAGAGGCUUUAUCAGACCGCCAGAUUGGUCCAUGACAUUAAAAAAAAAAAAAAAGGUUAAGAACCUCAGCUAUUGAGAAUAAAGUCUAUAGGGGAAAGAGUUUGAAUGGCAGAAAUGAUUCUGAAGGGAAAUAUGUGAAGACAUGGAUACCUGCUCUCAUCUAAUGGACUUGUAUCAUGCUCAGCAACUUCACCUAGAUGCUUUGAAGAUUAAUCAGUUACCAUGUUCUAAAAACAUUUUACCAGUACAGUACAAAUAAAGAACAGGGUAAUUAAAAGGAUGGCCUAAGGCUUUCAGAGAAGACAUACAGUUUAGUAUGACACAUGAACUGAUUAAAGCCCUCUGUGUUUACUUUGAAAAAUGAGCCUCAGAAGUCUAAUGUUUUAUAGAGAACAUUAUGUGUUCAGAGGCUCUGUAAGUUCUUAUCCUAUAUUAGUGGUAGAUACAUGAUCCUUCUUUUAUAGACAAGAGCAGAAAUCAUCUCAAGAGUAGCAAAUUAUUUUAGAAGGAUGACUUUAAAAGUUGCAACACUACUUCAUUCAGCAAUUUUAGAAUAUUGAUAGACUAAGAAAACUUUUCAUGGCUAUGCCUGCAAAGUGCUUUUCUAAUCUUCCAUGAAUCAUUUUAUUCCAUCUCUGAAAGAGGUCAUUAUAAGAGUCUAUUUUGACCAACAGAGAAAUUGAAGCAUGAAAAAAUUUCCAAUCAGAGUCACUGAAUAGCAAUUUUUGCACUCAAGUCACAAAAUACAUAAUCAAAUUUACUUUUUAAAAUAAAGUCAAUUGAGUAUCAAGGGUGUGUAUGUGUUGAGGGGUGAGGGAAGGAAGAACACUAGAACAUCAUCUCAAUGAGUGGGACACAAGCAGAGCUGAGACCAAGUGGGAAUUUACACUGGGGGAGAAAGGAUAUUGUGUAGAAGCUUCUUAUUUUAAUUAAUUUCUCUUUAUAAGUAAUUGCUAGCAUGUAUAUAACCUAUAUCAGAUUGUUUACCAUUUCAGGAAUAGAGGAGGGGAAAAAGGAGGGAGGGAAAGAAUUUGGAACUCAAUUAAAAAAAAAGACAAAUAUUAAAAAUGUAAUGGGGAAAAUUUUAAUAUUAUUUCAAAAAUACCACAGUGCUAAGAUCAGGUAUUUCUAGAUUGCUAUAAGGGCUUUUGAUGUUCUCUAAAUUUUACUAUUUUAAGAAAAAGUAUUGCUUAUAUCACCCUAUCACUCAUUGUGGCACUCUUUCUAGUCAAUAAACAUGUCUCUAACACAAUAGCACAAGUAAAAAUGAGUUUCUAUUUCCCAACUUGUAGCUUGUCAUCAAUCUGGACAGAAAUCUCAAAGUCCUCUAUCAUGAAUAGUCAAUACUUUUGACUGGUUAUAUUAUAUCAUUCUUAAAGGAUAAUUUUGCCCAUCCUCCAAGAGGCUAUUCAAUCUCAAGGCAGUCUGUUAAAAAAAAAAAAAACAACUUUUUUUUCUACUUUGAUCAAAUCUAAAUAAGUGGAAAAAUGCAGACAAGAAGCAGCAACAGCAACAGGGCAUAGUGGCAGCUGCACUUCUGAUUUUAAAGACUUUGCCACCAUGAUAUAGCUAUUCUCUCAAUCUGUAACUUCACUCAGUGCCUGGGGUCUUUUCACCUGUAACAUUUCUCUGCCAUACCGACCGACCCCCUUCUUCCACUGGUAAGUUUCUUUUGGGGAUAGACCCAGGCCCUGCUUUUUCCCUAUUCCCUUUUAUGUGUUGUCUUUACUCAUUGGAAUGAAACUUCCUGUUUUUCUAAUUUCUUAUGUUGAUAUUCCCACUGCUCAACAUAGUCCUCAACAUAGAGUAAGGACUCAAUAAAUACUCAGUGCCUUUCCUUGCCUGCUUCACCUGUUGUUCUGAGCUUCUAGAAAGAGCUCUGCUAUUAGGCCCUCAUGAAUAUAAUUAGCAAAAAAAUUUAUUCUAAGUUUUAAGAUCAUAUAUCCUAUAUUCAUUAAUUUUCCUGUUAUGUGCUAGAUAUGAACUUAAUUCCUUUAGUUUUGAUUGCAAAGAACACAUCAGUGUUUGUAAAUGAGAAUAUUUACAAUUCUUGUACUAUGUAAAAUGUUUCCAUAUAUUCAAUAAGUAUAUAUUGAAAAUCUAUUGCAUGGAUAGCAUUGUGCUUUUCCUAGUUUUAAUGGACAUAUUUCAGGAUUUUAAUUUCAGCUUUUUUUUUGAAGCUAGAAAUUUAUGUUCAAAGUUAAUUUAGUUCAUGUGUGUAGAAAACUUCCAGUGUGGAAAUUCUCUCCACAAAUGCAGAUGGACAGCUAAUUAAUAAUUUGUAAUCUUAGUGAGCUACCUCUGUCUCUAUGAGGCAAGUUAUUUGUCAAUGGUCAUCCAGCUAAUAGGUAUCUGAAGUAGAGGGGUCAAAUGCUUGUCUUUCUGACUCCAAGAACAAUAGUCCCCUGUCCACUAAAUCUAGCUGCUGCAUCUCAGGUUUGAUGAUUUUAGCCUUAAUGUAGAUAAGAAAACCUGGACUUUCUCUUGUAUUCUUUUCAUCUGUUAAAGUCUUAUCCAUUCUUUAAAGACUACUUCAAAGGUGACCCUUUCUAAUAAAGACUUUUCUUAUUUUUCAUCAGGUAAUAGUUAUCUUUUCUUUCUCCAUUCUCAUAUACCACUUUGUUUGCAUUCCUUUAAUGCAUUUAUUAUCAGUAUUAUAUGUACUAAAAUUAUUUGCACAUGGCUUAUCACUCUCCUAAACUGUAAAUUUCUAUGAGAAGCAGGAGCCAAGUAUUAUCCAAAUUGCAUUUCCCCUAGUACCCAACACAAUGUUUUGUACGUAUGAGGUGCUUAACAACUACUUGCUAGUUUGAACUAAAUAGAAACUAUUUCCAAAAAAAAUUGUAUAUAAUUUAUAUUAAAAAUUUCCCAAGGAAAUUAACGAAUUUGCUAUCUGAUAUCCAAAUUCUCCAUACAAUAUCAUAAUACAAAAACUAUCAAAAUACAGACACUAUGCCAAUACAACAAAAGGGAUUUCAAAAUUUUGCUUCCAAGGGAAUAUUUGUAUAGAGAAGUAUGGGAGAUAGCAAAGAUAGCAGGGUAGCACUGGCAUAUAGGAGAAUUGGAAGGAGGUUUUUCACAUGAGUGACACCAUUGGUUCUUUCUAGAACUCAAAUCCUCUCAUGAUAGUUUCAUAAAAUCCCCCCAUCUAUAUCCACCUUGUCAAUUGCCACAGUUAAUUGUUUCCUAUCAUCCAGCUUAAGGCUUCAUAUCCUCAUUUUCUAUUCCAGUUAAACUCUAGAGUGAAAGGAGAGACCAGUUACCUAAAAUUCUACCUUUGUUUUAUAAUGACAAACCAUAUGGUCUUAGGUCUCUCCCUGAAUCUCUUUUUUUCUCAGCUGUAAGAAAUCACAAGACACAGAGCAUUCAGGUGUGAUGAAUUUUUUCACCACUAGUUUUACCACUUGGACAUUCUUAUGUCAUUUGUUAUUAUGCCACCAUUUUGGUAGGGGAAUAGUUAGAGAAAUUAGCACAUAAAACCAAAAACAGAAAUUUCAUAAUUUUUGAAAGAAUUUUCUUGAGACAGGUAGGUGAUAGAGCACUGGGCUUGGAGUAAGGAAGAUCUGAGUUCAAAUAUGGCCUAAAUACACACUAACUAUAUAAACUUAGGCAAGAUACUUAGUCUCUCUCUCUCUCUGCCUCAAUUUCCUCACUUGUAAAAUGAAGAUAAUAAUAAUACUUCCUUCUUAGGGUUCUAUGUAAUCAACACAUAUUAGAUACUUUAAAAAUACUACAUAUUAGUAUUAUUAUCAGGCUAAUGAUCUGGAUAAUUACUAAUAUUUUAGAACAUUAUAUAAUGAUAUUGGUCUUGCUUUUUCAAAUACCCUUUAUGCUGUUUGUUCUAGUUCUGCAUCAGGAUCAGAAAUGAGAAGGCCUUUAGAAAUCGUUCCAUGCAGUCAUUCUCAAAGUGUGGCCUGGGAACCCCUUUCAGAGGGUCCAUGAAGUCAAAACUAUUUUCACAAUAAUACCAAGUAGUAUUCAUUUUGAAUGUGAUAAAUGUUGAUUGUCCAGAGUACAGUUAUUUUUAGCAAGGGAGCAACUGCUUUCUUUUUUGGGUCUCUCAGAAAGAGAAAUCUCAGUCACGGGGAAGCCAUCACUUCC
Antechinus flavipes (yellow-footed antechinus) is the source of this 8892-nucleotide long non-coding RNA. RefSeq lists it as uncharacterized. The transcript has 4 exons. Lineage: Eukaryota; Metazoa; Chordata; Mammalia; Dasyuromorphia; Dasyuridae. The record is from RefSeq and is a predicted model, not a curated record.